UACGUAGGGCGCGAGCGUUGUCCGGAAUUAUUGGGCGUAAAGAGCUCGUAGGCGGUUUGUCGCGUCGGUUGUGAAAACCCAAGGCUCAACCUUGGGCCUGCAAUCGAUACGGGCAGACUAGAGUACUGCAGGGGAGACUGGAAUUCCUGGUGUAGCGGUGGAAUGCGCAGAUAUCAGGAGGAACACCGAUGGCGAAGGCAGGUCUCUGGGCAGUAACUGACGCUGAGGAGCGAAAGCAUGGGGAGCGAACAGG
This 253-nucleotide ribosomal RNA is filed under the name uncultured bacterium. Its description in RNAcentral is "partial 16S ribosomal RNA". It matches the Rfam family "Bacterial small subunit ribosomal RNA", at positions 524 to 776 of the family's 1533-position model. The record is from RNAcentral.